CCUACGGGAGGCAGCAGUGGGGAAUUUUGGACAAUGGGCGAAAGCCUGAUCCAGCCAUGCCGCGUGCAGGAUGAAGGCCUUCGGGUUGUAAACUGCUUUUGUACGGAACGAAAAGCCUCUUUCUAAUAAAGAGGGGUCAUGACGGUACCGUAAGAAUAAGCACCGGCUAACUACGUGCCAGCAGCCGCGGUAAU
Molecule: ribosomal RNA, 194 nt
Filed under: uncultured bacterium
Lineage: Bacteria
Also listed under: 1 other name
Description: partial 16S ribosomal RNA
Rfam family: Bacterial small subunit ribosomal RNA
Source: RNAcentral